This 924-nucleotide long non-coding RNA is filed under the name Equus asinus (donkey). Its description in RNAcentral is "lncRNA (ENSEASG00005036139.1)". Lineage: Eukaryota; Metazoa; Chordata; Mammalia; Perissodactyla; Equidae. The record is from RNAcentral.
AGACUUCUAGCAGCCACACAGUGAGGUCUUGAGCUGAUGUGUUUCAAGGCUAUACAAGUAAUAGAGGCAGCAGUUAUGGCCUCCUAGGGGAAGGUGAUAACCUAAGAACAUAAGUGGGGAGUGGGGGAGGAUGUUAGGACAGCAGCUAAUGGGGCUGGAGGCCAGGACAGGUCUCCAGUCCUAGAGACGCAAAGAACAAAGGCAGAAGAGGAGAGAGCAAGAAGGCCAGCCACAACAGGACCCAGAGCAGGGUGAAGCUGCAGCCCAGCGCUCACCUGGGAACCCAGACUCCAAAAGGGAAGAUGGCCUGCUGGCACUUUGAUUUUAGUCUGACGAGACCCACACCAGACCUCUGACCUACAAACUGUGAGACAAGGAGUCUGAGAAGCCCAGAAGUUGCACAACAGCUAAGUUAACAGUGCCAUUCCUGGGCUUUUUGCCCACUGUGAAGACUCCUUUAAUGAGCCCUGGAGCAGCUGCUUGUGCAGAAGCUGCAGUAAGACACAGGGCGCUCCAGCCAUUUGGGCCUCCUUGCUGAUCUUUAAACAUACCAAGCCAAGGUCCUGCCUCAGGGCCUUUGUAUAAGCUUGUCCAGUAUCUGAAAUGCUGUUCCCCAGUAGGUGUUCACAUGGCUUUCCCCCUAACUUCAUUCUGCUCAAAAUCACCUCUUCAGAGAGAUUGUCCUUGACCCACCCCCCAUUUGAAAUAGCACACUGUCACUCUCUAGUCCCUUACUCUGCUUUUUUUCCUUUAUGAUAUUCAUCACUAUCUGACACCAUACCGUAUAUUUAUUUCUCUAUUCAAUUUUUGCCUGUUUCCCCAGUAGAGCGUAAAGCUCCUGAAGGUCAGGGACUUUUGUCUGUUAAUCGCUGUAUUUGCAGCACGUAGAACAUUGCCCAAUACAUGAUAAAACACUCAAUAAGC